GACGAACGCUGGCGGCGUGCUUAACACAUGCAAGUCGAACGGAAAGGCCCUGCUUUUGUGGGGUGCUCGAGUGGCGAACGGGUGAGUAACACGUGAGUAACCUGCCCUUGACUUUGGGAUAACUUCAGGAAACUGGGGCUAAUACCGGAUAGGAGCUCCUGCUGCAUGGUGGGGGUUGGAAAGUUUCGGCGGUUGGGGAUGGACUCGCGGCUUAUCAGCUUGUUGGUGGGGUAGUGGCUUACCAAGGCUUUGACGGGUAGCCGGCCUGAGAGGGUGACCGGCCACAUUGGUACUGAGAUUCGGCCCAGACUCCUACGGGAGGCAGCAGUGGGGAAUAUUGCACAAUGGGCGGAAGCCUGAUGCAGCGACGCCGCGUGCGGGAUGACGGCCUUCGGGUUGUAAACCGCUUUCGCCUGUGACGAAGCGUGAGUGACGGUAAUGGGUAAAGAAGCACCGGCUAACUACGUG
Molecule: ribosomal RNA, 468 nt
Filed under: uncultured bacterium
Lineage: Bacteria
Description: partial 16S ribosomal RNA
Rfam family: Bacterial small subunit ribosomal RNA
Source: RNAcentral